RNAcentral lists this ribosomal RNA (945 nucleotides) under Triticum aestivum (bread wheat). Its description in RNAcentral is "partial small subunit ribosomal RNA". Lineage: Eukaryota; Viridiplantae; Streptophyta; Magnoliopsida; Poales; Poaceae. The record is from RNAcentral.
AUGAAGCAGUCAAGGAAGGAAAGCGGUCAGGAAGUCCCGGAGGAGUGCCUUGCGAAGGUCAUCGGCCUGACCUCGCCUGCCGACGCCUGCCGCGCCACCGCGGUAUCCGCGGCCUUCCAGUCGGCGGCAGACUCUGACGCCGUGUGGGAGAGGUUCCUGCCGCUGGACUGCGACGCCGUCCUGGAGCGGGCCGUCCACCUCGUGGAUUCCUCCUCCAAGAAGGAGCUCUUCAUGGACCUCAGCGACGACCAUGUCCUCCUCGACGGCGGCAAGAGGAGUUUUGGGCUCCACCGAUCGAGCGGCGCCAAGUGCUACAUGCUAUCUGUGAGUGAGAUGGGAAUCGCUUGGGUUACAGCAGAUCUGUACUGGAUAAAGAGGUCGGACCCAGAUUCAAGAAAUUGCUUGAUUUAUCCUUGCUUGACAAUUAAGCUUAGGUUCUCCAAGGUGGCAGAGCUCAUGUCAGUGUGCUGGUUCAGCAUCUCCGACCGCAUCAGCAGCAAGGAGCUCUCACCGGGCACCCAAUACGCGGCCUACCUUGUGUACAAGCUCACUCAGGACGCAUCCGGUCUCAGCUCCCCACGGCAGAUAUCGUUCAUUGAGGUAGGUGGGCAGCUAGUUGGGAGCAUCCACCCGGCGUCUCUCCAUCCCUGCGACCGUUGUUCCUGCGCCACACGUGAUGGCGAGUCGUCAUCGUCGUCGACGACGUCCACAACGAACGUUGCCGCCGUACAGGUGCACGAGCACAUGAAGGAUGAAGGAGGCCUCAUUGUCAGGUACCCGCGGCAACGGGUCGACGGCUGGUUGGAGUUCGAGAUAGGUGACUUCCACACAGGUGAUGAAGCCGCGGCUGCAGUAGACGUUUUGAUGGUGCUGCAAGAGCUUGAGGAGCUGCAGUGGAAGAAGGGGCUCAUCAUCGAAGGCAUUGAGAUAAGGCCGAGAAACUAA